GUGCCAGCCGCCGCGGUAAUACGUAGGUGGCAAGCGUUGUCCGGAAUUACUGGGUGUAAAGGGCGUGUAGGCGGGAGUGUAAGUCAGAUGUGAAAACCCGGAGCUCAACUUCGGGAUUGCAUCUGAAACUAUGCUUCUUGAGUGCUGGAGAGGAAAGCGGAAUUCCUAGUGUAGCGGUGAAAUGCGUAGAUAUUAGGAGGAACACCAGUGGCGAAGGCGGCUUUCUGGACAGUAACUGACGCUGAGGCGCGAAAGCGUGGGGAGCGAACAGGAUUAGAUACCCUGGUAGUCCACGCUGUAAACGAUGGAUACUAGGUGUAGGAGGUAUCGACCCCUUCUGUGCCGGAGUUAACACAAUAAGUAUCCCACCUGGGGAGUACGGCCGCAAGGUUGAAACUCAAAUAAAUUGACGG
RNAcentral lists this ribosomal RNA (413 nucleotides) under uncultured bacterium. Its description in RNAcentral is "bacterial SSU rRNA". It matches the Rfam family "Bacterial small subunit ribosomal RNA", at positions 505 to 916 of the family's 1533-position model. The record is from RNAcentral.